CAACUUUCAGCAACGGAUCUCUUGGCUCUCGCAUCGAUGAAGAACGCAGCGAAAUGCGAUAAGUAAUGUGAAUUGCAGAAUUCAGUGAAUCAUCGAAUCUUUGAACGCACCUUGCACUCCUUGGUAUUCCGAGGAGUAUGCCUGUUUGAGUGUCAUGA
This 158-nucleotide ribosomal RNA is filed under the name Phlebiella sp. KUC20131001-20. RNAcentral describes it as "5.8S ribosomal RNA". It matches the Rfam family "5.8S ribosomal RNA". Rfam says of the family: 5.8S ribosomal RNA (5.8S rRNA) is a component of the large subunit of the eukaryotic ribosome. It is transcribed by RNA polymerase I as part of the 45S precursor that also contains 18S and 28S rRNA. Functionally, it is thought that 5.8S rRNA may be involved in ribosome translocation. The record is from RNAcentral. Lineage: Eukaryota; Fungi; Basidiomycota; Agaricomycetes; Xenasmatellaceae.